AAUAUUUUGGUGAGUGAAUAAUGCUACCAAGAGCGAUCUCAAGAUUGAGAGGGUUCAAGUAUAUUGAACACUUAGUUUAUCUUCUAUCUGUAGAAAAUAGGUAAAUAUAGAGAGGUAAUAUGAGAUGUCUUUGUCCCUCUCCAAGGUGCUUAUGUAGCUAACAGUCUAUUGUCUUGAUUUUUCAAAAUCUAAAAUCUAAGAACCAAAUGGUUACAAACUCAAGGACCUUCUUAGACAGUUUGUUAGUAAUCUUAUUUGUUUUUCACUUAAUGGCCGCCACGGCCGGGGUUCACUGAGGCAGUUACUGAUGUUAUUGAAAAUGGUGGAGAAACUCCCAAGAAGAAACUCUAUGAACUGAAAUUGUCUUUGCUUGAAGAGAUUGGUUGGUGUCUUUUGGUAUCAUAUGAAAAGCAAUGGAUGCAUGUACGUUUUCCUUCAGGCCUUCCUCUAUUUUAAAGUCUUUGCCCAAUUUUUAGUUGCAUUGCCCAAAUAAAUUAUUGGAUUUGUUAUCUUUUGUUUUACUCCUCAAAUAAAUGAAAUCUUUUUUUUUUUUU
Cucumis melo (muskmelon) is the source of this 554-nucleotide long non-coding RNA. RefSeq lists it as uncharacterized. The transcript has 2 exons. The record is from RefSeq and is a predicted model, not a curated record. Lineage: Eukaryota; Viridiplantae; Streptophyta; Magnoliopsida; Cucurbitales; Cucurbitaceae.